GUGGGUAUAGCUCAGUGGUAGAGUCCAUGCUUAGCAUGCAUGAGGUCCUGGGUUCAAUCCCCAGUACCUCCA
Molecule: transfer RNA, 72 nt
Filed under: Camelus bactrianus (Bactrian camel)
Lineage: Eukaryota; Metazoa; Chordata; Mammalia; Artiodactyla; Camelidae
Also listed under: 2 other names
Rfam family: tRNA
About the family: Transfer RNA (tRNA) molecules are approximately 80 nucleotides in length.
Source: Rfam by way of RNAcentral